GCAGCCGUGGCCUACUGGUUAGUGCUUCGGACUUGUAACCGGAGGGUUGCCUGGUUCGAACCCUGACCAGUAGGA
Molecule: transfer RNA, 75 nt
Filed under: Alosa alosa (allis shad)
Lineage: Eukaryota; Metazoa; Chordata; Actinopteri; Clupeiformes; Clupeidae
Description: tRNA-OTHER
Source: RNAcentral